CUCUGUGGUGUACAAGGAGUAAAAUAUUCUCCGCAGUGAUUUCUGUGGUGUACAAGGGGUAAAAUAUUCUACGCAGUGAUUUCUGUGGUGUACAAGGGGUAAAAUAUUCUACGCAGUGAUUUCUGUGGUGUACAAGGGGUAAAAUAUUCUACGCAGUGAUUUCUGUGGUGUACAAG
Long non-coding RNA from Xenia sp. Carnegie-2017, 176 nucleotides. RefSeq lists it as uncharacterized. NCBI's taxonomy places the organism in Eukaryota, Metazoa, Cnidaria, Anthozoa, Malacalcyonacea, Xeniidae. The transcript has 3 exons. The record is from RefSeq and is a predicted model, not a curated record.